This 249-nucleotide small RNA is filed under the name Paenibacillus rhizosphaerae. RNAcentral describes it as "BsrG". It matches the Rfam family "BsrG". Rfam says of the family: bsrE, bsrG and bsrH pair through intermolecular interactions with antisense sRNAs. SR4 interaction with the 3'UTR of bsrG RNA promotes bsrG degradation and inhibits its translation. SR5 also overlaps bsrG from nucleotide 163 to 52 (Rfam overlap check). The record is from Rfam by way of RNAcentral. Lineage: Bacteria; Bacillati; Bacillota; Bacilli; Caryophanales; Paenibacillaceae.
GACAACAGAAAAGCUUAUGGGCGGUCGGCUAGUCUCCCGAAGAAGGGAGGUGAUGCCAAUGGAGGUCAAAGACGCGCUUACCCUAAUGUUCAUGUUCGGCAUGUUCAUUCUAGCGCUGCUAACCUACAUGAAAAAGAAAUAGACCGCCCUCUGCAAAGGUUUGCGGUCUAUCUCUCGACUAAUUACCUAGUUUAGCUAACCGCCUUUAAAGCGGCUGUUGUCAAGAGUAAGGAUGCUACAACAUCCUUG